This 355-nucleotide ribosomal RNA is filed under the name uncultured bacterium. RNAcentral describes it as "bacterial SSU rRNA". It matches the Rfam family "Bacterial small subunit ribosomal RNA", at positions 527 to 881 of the family's 1533-position model. The record is from RNAcentral.
GUAGGGGGCAAGCGUUAUCCGGAUUUACUGGGUGUAAAGGGAGCGUAGACGGACUGGCAAGUCUGAUGUGAAAGGCGGGGGCUCAACCCCUGGACUGCAUUGGAAACUGUUAGUCUUGAGUGCCGGAGAGGUAAGCGGAAUUCCUAGUGUAGCGGUGAAAUGCGUAGAGAUUGGGAGGAACACCAGUGGCGAAGGCGACUAACUGGACUGUAACUGACGCUGAGGCGCGAAAGUGUGGGGAGCAAACAGGAUUAGAUACCCUGGUAGUCCACACUGUAAACGAUGAAUGCUAGGUGUAGGGGGUAUCGACCCCUUCUGUGCCGCAGUCACACAAUAAGCAUUCCGCCUGGGGAGU